CCCUCUGCCCCUCCCUCCCCACCAGAAGAUGCCACCCCCUCUGCCCCACCCGAAGAUGGUGCCACAUCAGGUGCAGCAGGACCCCUUUAGGCUGGCCACACUGGGGGAGGGACAGCUGAAGUGGAGGAGGAUAUAUAUGCAGCUGAUGUUGAAAUGUGUCUCCAAGGCAACCGGGGCUGGACAUGUGACGUCUCUUCCGCCGCGACAUGAGACCCGCGGCUGGAAAUGCCACUACAGGACGGCGGCCGGGAGUGCCUGGGACACACUGCACAGAGGGAGGGGCCAGGAACUACUGUACCUACUUCUGUAUGACUGUUGAUCCCACUACCAGGCUACCCACUGUCAUUGUACCCAGGGGUUUGGACAUACCUGUAAUGCAAAAAAACUCAAAAGUGUGAUCCUUCUUGUAAGGGGCCGACAGAAUAAUGCCUAGGUCUACCUGUUAUGUUCAUCAGUCAGGUAGGGAAAGCUGUUUGAAUUACCAUACAUAUUAAUACAUUUUACCAUUAC
Pseudophryne corroboree (corroboree frog) is the source of this 510-nucleotide long non-coding RNA. RefSeq lists it as uncharacterized. The transcript has 3 exons. Lineage: Eukaryota; Metazoa; Chordata; Amphibia; Anura; Myobatrachidae. The record is from RefSeq and is a predicted model, not a curated record.